This 280-nucleotide small RNA is filed under the name Arabidopsis thaliana (thale cress). RNAcentral describes it as "ATSL014180". Lineage: Eukaryota; Viridiplantae; Streptophyta; Magnoliopsida; Brassicales; Brassicaceae. The record is from RNAcentral.
UUUUUUUUGUAAUCUAAGUUCAAGCACCUUACAUUAGAAAGUCUUCGAUUUUUUUAUUUUAUUUUGUAAUCAAAGUCUUAGAGUUUAAAGUUUUAUUUUUCUUAAAUCUAAAAAUUUCUCCAACUUCUGUUUGAUAUGUAAUCUUUGUUUAUUUCAGUAUUUGCUGAUGAGGUUGUUAGAUAGUCUUUUUAUAGCUAGCAAGAUUCAAAGAAAAGGAAAAGUAACCAUCAAUCAAUAAAGCAAAAUGCAAGAUAAUCUCACCAUUAUAAAAAACUUAAAU